AAGCCAGACUCCUACGGGAGGCAGCAGUGAGGAAUAUUGGUCAAUGGCCGAGAGGCUGAACCAGCCAAGUCGCGUGAGGGAAGACGGCCCUACGGGUUGUAAACCUCUUUUGUCGGGGAGCAAAGAGAGUCACGUGUGACUCAUUGAGAGUACCCGAAGAAAAAGCAUCGGCUAACUCCGUGCCAGCAGCCGCGGUAAUACGGAGGAUGCGAGCGUUAUCCGGAUUUAUUGGGUUUAAAGGGUGCGUAGGCGGGCUUUUAAGUCAGCGGUCAAAUGUCGGGGCUCAACCCCGUCGAGCCGUUUGAACUGGCGCGCUUGAGUUCAGGCGAGGUAGGCGGAAUUCGUGGUGUAGCGGUGAAAUGCAUAGAUAUCACGAAGAACUCCGAUUGCGAAGGCAGCUUACCAGUCUGCGACUGACGCUCAGGCACGAAAGUGUGGGUAUCGAACAGGAUUAGAUACCCGGGUACG
RNAcentral lists this ribosomal RNA (468 nucleotides) under uncultured bacterium. RNAcentral describes it as "bacterial SSU rRNA". It matches the Rfam family "Bacterial small subunit ribosomal RNA", at positions 328 to 793 of the family's 1533-position model. The record is from RNAcentral.